GAUUUGUACAGGGAAGUUACAGGCAGCUCUCCUUUGGCAGGAGGGAGGAUGAUACUAUGAUUCAUGAUUGAAGCCUGCGCAUUAGUUAUACAAUACAUAUGUAUAUUUGUUCACAAUAGAGAUCGUAGAGCAUUUUAAAUUUAUGUUGUUACAUAUAGUAGUGAAUUGGUCCGAUGUCCAGCUUUGUCCAGUAAUUAGACUGCCGUUCCUGCAUGCCAAAGGAGAAUUGUCCUGCGACUGCACUGUACAAUGC
This 253-nucleotide microRNA precursor is filed under the name Picea abies (Norway spruce). RNAcentral's name for it is "miR399h stem-loop (pab-MIR399h)". Its record names the gene pab-MIR399h. Lineage: Eukaryota; Viridiplantae; Streptophyta; Pinopsida; Pinales; Pinaceae. The record is from miRBase by way of RNAcentral.